Long non-coding RNA from Gossypium arboreum, 732 nucleotides. RefSeq lists it as uncharacterized. NCBI's taxonomy places the organism in Eukaryota, Viridiplantae, Streptophyta, Magnoliopsida, Malvales, Malvaceae. The record is from RefSeq and is a predicted model, not a curated record. The transcript is spliced from 2 exons.
AGCCCUUUUUACCCAAAAACAAAACCAGAGAGAGCCUCUAAAAAAAAAUCCUCUGGCCCUCUGAGCUCCGACUAGAGGGCCAUCACCGCUCAUCCUCGAGCCCCGUCGUGCGUAGUCUUUACGCGCCAACACGCCGUCAUCAGGACAACCGCAUACAGUGGCUAGGGUUCGAAAAAAAAACCAUCUUUUCUUUGCAAAUCUUCAGAUCGCGUUGUGGAUGCGAAUCUUGCCUGGUGACCACAGGACGGCCUCUGCUGCGAAGAUCUCAGCACCGAUGGAGGCACAAAGGUCAGUGGUGAGGCCUGAGAUCACGGUGCACUGAUGGUGGUGAUGUUUAAGCCACUCGAUCGUUGUGAGGCAAACGGCGGUGACGUUCGGAGUGCCCAAAGCCUCUGGUCAGUGCUUUGAUGGGACCUCAUGCGUGGUGACCAUCGAUCUGACCAGUAUUGAUGAGGGCCAACUGGGGUGACGUGAGGGGACAGGGCUAUUGAUGGCCCUUGCUUUGGGAGCUGGAAUGGCUCUGACGUGGCGAAGCUUCUGGAACUGCUCCUGGGCGCUGAGGUUCCAAGGAAACCUUAGGGUUUCCUACUGGUGUUUUAAGUCAUUGGGCCUUUUGGGCCCGAGUGAGUUGGGUCUGUAGUAGAUUAGUUUGGGUAAUGGGUCUGUUUGUAAGGGUUAUUGGGUUUGGACUUUUUAACGGACUUUUAAAAUAAAUAAAUAUUCAUUUAUUCA